CACGAGUCUGGCUGAGACUGGCCGGCCAUCAAAUAAAUCGUUGAUUGUUUUCCUACGACCUGUGUCCGGAGUGAGUCUGUGUAACCUGAUACCAAGGGCUUCUGCAACAAUAUUACAAAGAAAACAUAGGAGCUGCCCAAUGGAUUUAAAAAUUUACUAGCAAACAGGUAUUAGCAAUUUUAAAGUAAUUUAUUAAGGUGCAAAUGCAGUUUCUGAUGACGAAGCCAUAUCAGGUGCAAAUCAGGCUUUUAUGUUUGCAAUACUAAUUAGCAAUGUGAUGAACCAACUACUUUUGUUUUAUAAUAAAGGGCAGAAUUAAACAGCUGGCACCUAGCUGGGAGAUACAAUUGUUUCUUUUUUUUUUUGUCACAGGUACAUGGCUAAUGUCUGCAGUAAUUAUACAAUUUACGUGAGCAAAUAACAGUUGGAUGACCUCGCUGGCAGGGGUGUUAUCUGCUUGGUUGAAUUGAUUUUAUUUACCUGAGUCAACACAAAAGUCUGAUCUCUAAAGCCUGAGGUUGUAGAACAAUUUGGGAGACAGGCUGGUCAUGCAGCGGGACUUUGUCAAUUAAAAAAAGGUUGACAAUUGAGCUCCCAAAGUAGCUUCUAUAGCAGCUCUGGAGUUAAAGGGACACUCCAAGCACCAAUAGAACUUUAAUGCAUUAAUGUGCUUUAUUUGUUUGCAUGCACAAAUCUUUAUAGUGUUAGCACACACAAAAAAAAAAUGUUUUCCUUCUCAUGCCAAACUUACUUAUCAAAUGCAUGAGCACAGCUUUGCCUCUAACAGUACUGAGUGAGCUGCUUUCAGUUCACAACCUGGCUGCAGACAGUCAGAGGAACUACAAACAGGUAGUGAUAGCCUAACUAUAUAUCUCCCUGGGUGUUCUCUCCUUCUAAUGCAGGUUGCUUUGGUGGUCAGAUUGACCUAGGGCUUAUUUUCAGGCAAACAUGGUACUAAGAGUUCAGCAUGCAAACAAUGCAGCAUAUUGAGGCCAAAACAUAUUAAAUGAAUAAAAUUUGAAUGGGUGACCCUGCAAUACAAGAGUAUUAAUUUGUGAGAUUGUGUGUGUGUGUGUGUGUACAUGUGUGCAGGAAGCGGGGUGUAAAUAUAUUUUCUGAAUGCAGGUGUGAUGAAUAAGAUCCCCCAGUUGUGAUGGUGUAACUUUGAAAGCAGAACUGUCGCUUCCCAGAAUUUUUAAUACUUUGUUUUAUUUAUACCGUACAUUCACUAAAUAUGUUUUAUGAGGUCUGAAAAUAGAAUUAAAUGAAGAAAUCCACACAUUUAUUCUGGAUCUUGGCAUAUCCAUCUUGGCUCCCUGUCAAUCAUUAUUUUACAUAACGUAUACUGAAAAAUGAGUGCUAAGGAGCAAAAGAAAAACAGAUGAAAAAAAUCUAAAAGAUUUAAUAAAUUGCACCAAACAUUUCCUUAAAAUUAGAAAUCUCCCUCAAAGUUUCACUUUUCUUUCUAAUUUGUAUUGUGUGACCUGGUUUAGACCAGAGACAUACCUAAUUAUACAUAUACCUAGGUUACAUGAAACCUGCCAGAAAAGCAUUUUUCUGCCUUAUCUUAUUUGUAAAAAAAAAAAAAAAAGGAAUCACAUUUUAUUUUAUUAAAUAAUAGUUUUGUUUUUUUAAUUAAACACUGAGGUCCAACCAGCUCCCCUGUUCCUACCUUGACAGGGACAGCUGGAGUGGAAACUCAUCCCUGGUGUCCACUUGGGAAUUGAGGGGUCUCUCUUACUGCCCAGCUGCCUGCUGCUCUAUACUGUUAAUGAGAUCAUAUUCCGACUCCAGCAGCAAUACAGGGUGCACUAGGGAGUUGGGAAAUCAGUGCCGAGAGUUCCCAUGAGCAGAAGAAUCCACAGCACAGGAUCAGAGCAGGUACUUGCCAUGCAGCACCCAGUGAGCAAGGUGCUGGUAGGUAGGUGUCUGCUCAUGCUGUGCACUCCCCUGCUGUUUGUCACCCGAGGGGGAGAACUACACCCUGUGCCCCGGUUAUACCUAAAUUAAACUAGAUUGUGGCGUCACUUGCUUUAUCUUUAAAAUACAUUUUAAAAGAAAACCGUGUGAAACAAAGGUUAAUGCAAGUUAUAGAUAAUUUUCAAUGUUUUAUUCAAUUAUGUAAUUUCCAGAGAAGUGACCGUUUAGCUGUAAAAGAGAACUGACAGCUCACAGGGAGAUGGAUGGAUAGUUUUAUGCAGUUUCUGUGCUGCUACAUGCUUCUAAGCACUACAGACGUAGCAUUAUUCAGUGUAAGUUAUUAAAUGUAGCUUGAAACGGAACUUCAUUGGAGAAAACAAACUCUUUUGGGAUCCCGGUGGCAGAGGCAGGCCGGCCUGAAGGUCAUUUGCCCCCUGCUCUGAUUUAAUUUGAAGAAUUUAAUUCACCAGCCACAGCAUUAUCUCUUUUUCAUUUCUUUUCUUUUCACUUGUAGUAUAAACACGAGGGACACUGGGAUAAAACGCAGCCACUGCUUUAGACUAUUCGCAUUGGAUAUGUGCUGCAUUGCCUGUAUAGAUUGAAUGUAUAGCCACUUUUAUUGACAUUAGCAUGGAUUGCAUACCUCUCUGCCUAAUGAACCUGCGCCCGGGAAUAAAAUCACACAUUAAAUCUAAACUGUUGUAGCAAUGUCAUUUGGAAAGCAAUGGUUUGGAUAAAUAAUUGCUACUUUAUUCACAUAUACCGUAAUGCCUACUGGCUGUGCAAGAAACAUGUUGGUUUUAUUGGUCUCUGGCUCCCGGGAAAGCAGCCUUCAACUUCCAUUUUUCGGUGUGAUAAAUGCCAAAUUUCAUUUUUAUUUGGUCUGUUUCACAGUCCGUAGAUUCCUUAUCAGCGUUUUCUCUUACACGUAGCAAAACCAAAACAAACAACAAACACAAAGACAUGCAUAAUAAAUAAUAUACAAUACGAAAGAAAAGAACGAGUGCAGAAAAUCUAUAGAAUUCUCAGAUUCAGCUCCAAAGCAGUUGAAUGAUGCUCAGAUCAACACCGGUAAUUCCAAAGGCGGAAACCUCCCACCAUUCACAUAUAGCCAUUUAAUUAUUAUGAGUGCUAUGCAAUGUAGCAUCAUAUACCACAAGGUGUACAGUGGGCAAAUAAAUCAAUCUAGUGGAUACUAAACAGGUGUUUAACUCCCCUCCCACCACUGCUAGCGUACUAUAUUUCUAAAGAAAAGUAGUCUACAGAUUAUCACAGGUUGCACAUAAAGGUCAUGUAAUUUGUUAUCGUUUAUCAGUAAUAUAGGACCAUCCAUCAAGGUAUCCAGAAAGGUCACCAGAGCCUUAGCGUUAAUGCCAAGUAACAACAUAUAUGAGAAUAUGUAUGCUAUAUGUUUAAGGUGACCAAUCAUGUAUUGAACCAGGAUCCGAGUCAAAGAAAAUGUACGUCAAGACUGUGUUUGGACAUGACUUCUGUUUACAUGUAUUCUGCUUACUGAUUAAGACCCAUAAGUUUUUGUUUUACAUAACUGGAACCUACAAAAAACAUCUGUGUACACUUACCUACAUGACAUGUACAAGGCUAUAUAUGCUAUAAACAGUGGCACAUUUUAACUUGGACGGCAUCUUUGGCAUUAAAAGAUUAUUAAAAAUGGAAGGGUUGUUAUGGUAAGGGAUGAGAUAAAACCAGCUUGAGUACUAAGCGAGGGCCAACCAAAUGGUAAGCUGUUCGCCAUCUGUUCUCGUUAUUUUCUGCUUUAGUUUAUUUGCAAAAUGCCAGGUCCAUCCUAAGGUAAAAGGGUAAUCGAGACAUGGACUCCGUGCUCUCCUCACUGAGCCUAGAGGAUUAUCGGACACACGCCACAGAUGAGUCCCACCAAGGUUUAAAAUGGCAAAAUGAUUGUCUAGGGUUGCUAUAUCUCUCGUGCAGAGGGAGCCAGGCAGCAUUUCAGAUCUGGACCACCGUUCUGACUGUAAUCUGUGUCCUAGGCAAAUAGUGUAUGUUCCCUCUAUAAUGGAACACACUGAACUAAAACCAACUUGAAUACUUAGCAAGGACUCACCAAAGGAGAAGCUAUUCGAGCUUGAUAUAGAUCCAAUGUGGUCUUUGGAAUAUUCAAGGGAGCCCAAAUUAUUAUUUCAAGUGCACAUGGAGGAGUGUUGGACACCAGACACCUGUUGGUAUUCAAAAAAGGCCUCUAAACUUUAUUUUGUCAGUUAUGUUUUUAUACAUGAAAAAGUAAGUGCUUACGUGCAAAUACUCAUAGGACAGUAGUAGGAAGGGAGUGAAAGGGUGAAAGGAGUACAGAUAAUACAUAGGGAGGAACGUCAUGUACAUAUAACAGAUAAUUUCCGAGAAACAACAGACUGAUUUAGGAGAGACAGCUCAGGUGGGGACUAUCUGUUCCCAGAACUAGGCAUAUUUGGUCUUAAGUGUUGUUUUAAGCAUUAAGCAUUUCCAAGUUAGCCAAUUUUAAUAUGACACCUAUAAGAUUGAGCCUUGGAAUCAAAGUAAAUUCUUUUGCGUGCUAUUGUUUGCGUUCUCAGUAUUCUCCUGUACCCUGUUUUUGUUUAUGAUGGAAAGAUUAGAGCAGAAAGGUAACAUAGAGAUGGAAUCAGAUGAGGAAAAUAUACUCAGGGUUAUUUAAUAAAGCGUGAUUUGAUGAUAAAUUCACAGUGAAUUCAUAGAGCGUUCCAAAUUGUAGCCAAAUAGCCAAUGUAAGAAAUCUGCACAUCAGCUUUGUUUUCAGAUUGAAUUCCCUUCGGAUUCCACACAAUUUACACUUUAGUAGAUAACUCAUGGAGUCAUCAUUAUCAUUGUAGGAUACCCAUACCUGCUUUGGCACAGAGAACUGCAGGUAAUGAGGCAGCUCAGAAGCUACUUCACCUCCUUAUAAACAUCUGUGUAUGGUGCCCUGCUUCCUAUAAUAAUUAUUUUUAAUGAGUUGUAAAUUGUUUUUGCUUCACUAGUAAUGAGCUUUAUGGGGUUGAUUUUCUAAUUAAAUUCUAUAUCUCGGUCUCUCAUUAUGUUGCCAGUAUCUUUGAGGUGUGAGUUGGUUAUGUUGGCUUGUUCUUGUUGAAGUUCCAACGUUCUAAAGUAUCAAUGUAUGUCAUUAGCAUAUAGAUGGAAAUGCAGAUAGGGUGAUAGGGUUAAUCCUUGGGAGAUAACACGUAUAUUAGUGGCCUAUGCCUAGGCCUACUGCCUGUGACUCAUUCGGGUGCAAAUGGGAACCAUAAAGUCAGCUCAUUUACUUCUAUCAUCUAAUUAGUUUUAUGUGACCAUAUGUCAAAUGUGGCGGGUCUUUCAAAAUCAAAAAUAUAUCUUUGUUAUUGUCCAAGAGAUGUUAAAUUGAAUCCAUUAAUGUAAAGUUCCAUGUUUAGACUCGUGUCCCGAUGGAAUGUGAUCAGCGGACUAGAGACCCUUACGUGUUUUUAAAAUUGGGUUCCGAUUUAUUUUUGAACAUCACUUAAGCCAUAAAUAAGGUGUUUGUAAUAAAAUAAAGUUUGUAUAAAAAUUUUUUUUUUUUUAGGAAAGUUUUGGCAAUUACAUUUUAAGCAAUAGUAGGUGGACCCCUUGUUUAAUAGAUAGAUUGAUUUUUAUCAUAGAGCAGGUUAAUAACGUAUGGAGCACACUGCUACAGGACUUUGGCUUGUACUCAACAAUGACAUUAGUUAGGUCACUGAUAUAAAAAUGACGGAUUCCAGAAAUAUGUCUAAAAUGUGGCUCAGAAAUCACAAGGUCUUUCACUUGGCUUCAGGGAGUUUGUAUUUGAGGAAUGUGAUUUUGCAUGGGAGAUAACACUUCCCUUUCCUUCCAUUUGUCUAUUUAUUGGAAAAUUGGACUGAUGCAUGUAUGAUCUGUAAGAUCAAGCUUGUUGCUAGAUUUAUUGAUUUUUGCACAUAUCAAUAUCCGACUUUGGGAUUGAGAGCAGAACCAGCUGGUUUCCAUGAAUUUUUGGUAUUUUAUUUUUUUGGACUUUUUUUUUCUUCUUUAGUGUCAUUCUUCUCUCUUGACUUAUCACUUUUGUUUAUUGGUGAGCCAGUUUUACCACGGUAGAAUCAAUUUGUUGGCUCUGUGUAGGAAGAUGACGUAUGAAGGUUAGCAGCUUUAAUAAAUUGCAGUUGGUUUGUUAAUCUUAAAAUGUGAUCUUUUUACUUAUUCAUAGGGAAAUUAAUGCAUUGUGUUCUAUAAGUUGGUACCAAGCUUGAUGUAUACGAUGUGAACUUGAUAAUCAUUCUUUCUAUCUCUAUGAUGAUCUACAUUGAUGUAUAUGCCCGGGGUCCUCAUGGCUGUGUCAUUUGGGCCCUUCUGUAUCUUGAAAUCUGCCAUGGUGAUUUUUAUGCUCUUAUUAACACAUGGAAUUAAAGUGCAAUACAGAACCAGGACUAUAUAUAUAUAGAGAGAGAGAGAGAGUGAGAGAGAGAGAGAGAGAGAAUCCUAAACAUCAACUUCAAAGCUCACAAAAUGACAUUUUAAAAAAUACAUUUUUUAACAUCGAACUUAGGCAAAAAUAAUGGGGUCCAGUUACAGUAUAUGAUCAUACAUAAAAAACAAACAAAUAUAAAGUGUGCUGUGCUGUGUAAAAGAUUGUGCUCACAAAAAGUCUUGUGUAUUACAAUCAACCCCAGCAAGUAAUUAAAUGCAACAAAGUGCUUGUGCUCAGAAUUAAACUGUAGUUCCUCGUGCAGGAAACCAGUAAUUUGUGCAAUAUUUUUGUGCAAGCACACUGCAAAAUAUACGUGCAAAUAUUAUUGCACCAUUCCACAUUAAAAUGCAUAAAUAUUAAAAGUGCAUUAUAAACUUUGUGUAAGUCAAUACUUAAAACCAAUGUGCAAGAUAAAUGUGCUAUUUCACUCACAAAUUUUGUUCAUAGAGAGAUGAUUUUUCCACAUGAAAACAGUAUAUCAAAGCAAACUAGUGUAAUAUUGCUAACACAAUGAUAUGGUUAAAAAGAGGUAGAUUAUCACACUCACAAAUAGAGAGCAGGUAAAGAGACUGCUCAGGCUGCUCGCGCUUUUUCACUGUAUGUCAGUGCACCCAGGAAUAACUUCCUUGACAGAUUAGAUGGACGACCAAGAAUAAAGAAUUAACAAUCUUAUACCAUUCAAAUAAAAACAGCAGGCACUCAAAUGUGGGUUCUUCUUGUCACUGGCAGUACAAUACGCACAAGAGACAUAUGGUUUCGAGAUGCCGGCACUUCUGGCGUUCCAAAAUCUCUUUGCCUGUUCCGGGAGGUGGAGUCCACAACGUCCUGUGUCACAACGUGAUGACGCAUUUCGCCGCAAUUGGCUUCAUCAGGUGAAUGUAUCAGUCAGUGUCCGUCUCUUUUAUAUCCCCUAUAUGGGCAUGUAUUAGUCUAGAUCAGGGGUUCUCAACCC
This 7316-nucleotide long non-coding RNA is filed under the name Pelobates cultripes (western spadefoot toad). Lineage: Eukaryota; Metazoa; Chordata; Amphibia; Anura; Pelobatidae. The record is from RNAcentral.